RNAcentral lists this transfer RNA (111 nucleotides) under Fusarium oxysporum. Its description in RNAcentral is "tRNA-Leu". Lineage: Eukaryota; Fungi; Ascomycota; Sordariomycetes; Hypocreales; Nectriaceae. The record is from RNAcentral. RNAcentral also lists the same sequence under 1 other name.
GUCAAGAUGGCCGGGGUGGUCUAAGGCGCUGCACUCAAGACGUUGUCUUAUCCAGUUAACUGGGUUCUUGCAGUAUCGAAAGAUUCUUGGGUCCGAAUCCCAACCUUGACA